RNAcentral lists this long non-coding RNA (1651 nucleotides) under Lingula anatina. RNAcentral describes it as "uncharacterized LOC106159695". Lineage: Eukaryota; Metazoa; Brachiopoda; Lingulata; Lingulida; Lingulidae. The record is from RNAcentral.
CAUGAUUCACACAUCUCGUGAUCAUCAUAUUAUUCACAAUGCAACCACAUGUCUCUCCUCACAUUGAGUUUCCACCCUCCAUAACAGUAUUGUGGUAAUUGCACUUUUCAUUUGAGAGAGAAAAGAGCUAUACAACUAAAAUGGCUAACUGUGGGUGUUUAUGGAGCAUAUUAUGGUUUUUUAUCCUUAUCAUCAUCGGUUGGCCGAUCGGAGCAUUUUGUGCUGGCUGGUAUCUUCUGUUCAGUCCUUUCUCCGCCUGCUGCAGUGCAUUGGAUGGUUUAAUAAACCUUCUAGAGAAAGGCCUCAAACUGCCAUUAACUUGUGCACAGAAUAUGGUGCACCAGAAAUCACUGUGUUAGGAACAUCAAGGACGUGACUGAUUAACUUGUUGACGACAGAAAAAGGGAAUUCACAUCAUCAGCAUCACAAUGGCCAAUUGUUCCUGGUUGUGGAGUAUAUUAUGGCUUCUGAUCCUGUUCAUCAUCGGCUGGCCCAUAGGAGCUUUCUGUGCCGGCUGGUACCUUCUUCUCAGUCCCUUCUCAGCCUGCUGCAAUGCGCUGGACGAACUGAUAAACUUGCUUGAACGAGGUGUCAAAUUACCAUUGACCUGUGCUCAAAAUAUGGUCCACCAGAAGGCUUUGUGUUAGACAGAGGCCUGGGGAGAUUGUGAUUAUGUGAAGCCUGGAGAGAUUGGCCGAUGGCUUAUGCAAGAAAGUCUUUUUAACUCAAGCAAUAGGGAUGUUGCAGUGUGGUGAGACCAGUAUAGAAAUCACAGUUAAUCCCAAGAUGACGAACUGGUCAGAAUUCCUUGAACAAGUUAACCAGAAAAAUUGGAUCACUUAAAGAGACAUUUCUUUAAUACCAGAUGCCACCUGAUAUUAGUGUAUAUAGUCCGUCUUUUUAAAAAAACUUUUCUUUGAUACAAAACAUCCAGAAAAAAAUUGCUCAAAUUUUGAUUAUUUAAUGAAAGUUGAAAUAUCUUGUUAUUUGUUAAUUAAAAUUUUCUUUGUGAUAAAAUGAAAAAGGUUUGGGUGAAAUGGUGCCUGGAAAAAUCACUAUCUUGUCAGCAAAUAGGUCACGUAUUGGUAAUCGGGCCACGUGGAGUAGUGAGAAGAGAUAGGGAAAACAGAACACAGAUACCUGUAAAGCAAACACUCUACCAGCAUAGCUGAUAUGUAUGUACUGUGUGCACCAGUAUCAAGUACUACCUAUAAAACAAGUGACAGUUCACCGUCAUCACACAACACUCAUCAUCUGAUAAAGUAGAUGAAAGCAAACAGGAUGCCAGAAAAAAUACUUUAUAGAUUCUUUGGGAAAAAAAUCCAUUCCACUUUGUCAUUUUCAGGGCCAAGUUCUGCUUUAUUACCAGGUUCAAAGAAGAUAGUUGGCAAUGUAAUUUUGUUAAAUUGGUAUCAGGUUCUCUUACUAUACAAUUGUAGAUUAUAUCAGUACCUCCUUCCCCAAAUAGAAGGAUGACAUGUUAUUAUUAUUAUUUACCCAUAAUCUGUCCAACUCACCUUAUGGUAAUGUGUCAGUCUAAUCAGUCUUAAUCAUGACCAAAUGUCACAAAUUACUUGAAGGCAUUUUAAAAAAAAGUAUAUUAUAUGAGAAGACAUUAAGACAAUAAUUUUGAUUUACAACAGUGUUAAAA